UACCUUACAAUCUGAGGCAGAUGUUUUGAAAGGUUCAAAGUGUUUGAAGUCCCAUCCCCCUGCAGCCAAACUGAAUGUCAUUCAUUCAACAGUCCCAUUACUCUUGUGAGGCUCUGUGCAGCUGAGCCAGAUGGAAGACAAAAUUUUUGUGUAUGAAGUGGUUUUCCAGGUAGCCCUGUGUAGAAUAGGUGAAGGGCAAAGCUGA
Oxyura jamaicensis (ruddy duck) is the source of this 205-nucleotide long non-coding RNA. RefSeq lists it as uncharacterized. The record is from RefSeq and is a predicted model, not a curated record. The transcript is spliced from 3 exons. NCBI's taxonomy places the organism in Eukaryota, Metazoa, Chordata, Aves, Anseriformes, Anatidae.